GACCGAAUAGCCAAGCGGCCAAGGCACGGGACUGCAACUCCCGCAUCGACGGUUCGAGUCCGUCUUCGGUCUCCA
RNAcentral lists this transfer RNA (75 nucleotides) under Euzebya pacifica. RNAcentral describes it as "Euzebya sp. DY32-46 tRNA-Cys". It matches the Rfam family "tRNA". From Rfam's summary of the family: Transfer RNA (tRNA) molecules are approximately 80 nucleotides in length. Their secondary structure includes four short double-helical elements and three loops (D, anti-codon, and T loops). Lineage: Bacteria; Bacillati; Actinomycetota; Nitriliruptoria; Euzebyales; Euzebyaceae. The record is from RNAcentral.